Gasterosteus aculeatus aculeatus (three-spined stickleback) is the source of this 1520-nucleotide long non-coding RNA. NCBI's taxonomy places the organism in Eukaryota, Metazoa, Chordata, Actinopteri, Perciformes, Gasterosteidae. The record is from Ensembl.
UAUGGCAUUUAUGCUCUUAAUAAAAAGGUGUUUUUCCUUAAAUCAUGUUUUUCAGAUGUCAGGGAAUUCUGGCUUAAAAAAUGCAUGCAGGGCGCUAAUCAAUCGCUGGCUCCGCCCCUCAUGUUGACUACCAGCUUACGAGCACUUCGUUCAGUACCCGUCCAAUGAAGCGGAGCGCCGUGCGCCCCUCUGCUCACACAAAGCUCUCACAGCCGUUACCGCGGAACAGGUCACAGGUCACAGGGCCGCAGAUACAGGUCACAGGUCACAGGGCCGCGGAUACAGGUCGAAGGUCACAGGGCCACGGAUACAGGUCACAGGUCACAGGGCCGCGGAUACAGGUCACAGGUCACAGGGCCGCGGAUACAGGUCACAGGUCACAGGGCCGCGGAUACAGGUCACAGGGCCGCGGAUACAGGUCACAGGUCACAGGGCCGCGGAUACAGGUCGAAGGUCACAGGGCCACGGAUACAGGUCACAGGUCACAGGGCCACGGAUACAGGUCACAGGGCCACGGAUACAGGUCACAGGGCAGCGGAUACAGGUCACAGGUCACAGGGCCGCAGAUACAGGUCACAGGGUCACAGGUCACAGGGCCACGUUGUCGCUUGUGGACGCUGUUAGCUGCAAGCGGACAUCUUUGCGUUGGAGGCUGAGUGUGCAGCCUGUGUGCUGCAGCGAUAGGGGACCAAUCGCACGCCGCUCAUUUUAUUGACCAGCGCCUGAACGCACCACCUGAAUAUUUUUUUCUCAUCGGAGCAUCGGAGUAUUUGGUUAAUAACGUGAACACUGUUGUAAACGAGGACCUGCAGAUGAGUUUAGAAGACAACACAAUGACCUACGAGGCCGGACUGAGGGAGACGUCCUCUGCUGACGUCCUACCUGUCCUGUCUCACCUCCUCCUCCUCUUCUGUAUUCUGACUUCCAACAUCCACACUGAUCCUCCGCUCGGCCUGGUGGCCCGUCAGCUCAACGGGGGAGGGGCUCUUCAGGUGUGUGUGUGUGUGUGUGUGUGUGUGUGUGCGUGUGCGUGCGUGUGUGUAUGCGUGUGCGUGUGUGUGCGGGUUGUGGUGACUGCAGGCUGCUAGUAAUUGAAAAGCCAGAACGCCAGCAACCGUGACCCCUGUGACCUCCUAUUGAGAGAACAACCAUUGAUUUCUGCACAGAGGGAGCAAGUGCUAAAGAAAAGGAUACAUUAUAGGAAAGGAACAGAGCAAGAAGAAGGAAAGAGGGAAGCUGAAUACAAAGGAAGCAUUAGAGGUAAACUGGGAAGUACGAAGGACUGGGAAAGAUUUCAGACAAAGGAAUGAAUCAGGAGGCUGUCAGAGAGGCGAAGUAUAGAACAUGUGGGAUAAAAAAGUACAGGAGGGAUGAUAGAUGAGGAGGGAGAAAAAGAAUAAACAAUAAUUAAAAAGCUUGAUGUAAAAUAAACCGCAGGAUAGAAAGGAGGAAGCAAAGGGAAGAUCUGGGCAUGCAUGCUAACUAAAGCCUAGUUUAUGCUUCUGCAUUUUCAGAGCGAA